RNAcentral lists this ribosomal RNA (316 nucleotides) under uncultured eukaryote. Its description in RNAcentral is "partial 18S ribosomal RNA". It matches the Rfam family "Eukaryotic small subunit ribosomal RNA", at positions 1470 to 1796 of the family's 1831-position model. The record is from RNAcentral.
CCCUUAGAUGCUCUGGGCCGCACGCGCGCUACACUGGUCGAUGCAACGAGUUUCUUUCCUUGGCCGACAGGCCUGGGCAAUCUUUGAACAUCGAUCGUGAUCGGGAUAGAUUCUUGUAAUUUUUGAUCUUAAACGAGGAAUUCCUAGUAAACGCAAGUCAUCAGCUUGCAUUGAUUACGUCCCUGCCCUUUGUACACACCGCCCGUCGCACCUACCGAUUGAAUGGUCCGGUGAAAUCUCCGGACUGCACAGGCCCCGUGUCUGGCGCGAGAAGUUGGCUAAACCUUACCAUUUAGAGGAAGGUGAAGUCGUAACA